AGCACGAUAAUUCAGAGGCAGAAUGUUGGGCUCAUACUAAGCACUGCUUUGUACGCACCCAAAAGUCGCUGGAUCGAAACCAGCUCGUGCUA
Non-coding RNA from Tilletiopsis washingtonensis, 92 nucleotides. Lineage: Eukaryota; Fungi; Basidiomycota; Exobasidiomycetes; Entylomatales. The record is from the annotation of a RefSeq genome assembly.